Molecule: non-coding RNA, 84 nt
Organism: Bombyx mori (domestic silkworm)
Lineage: Eukaryota; Metazoa; Arthropoda; Insecta; Lepidoptera; Bombycidae
Source: Rfam
UUAACUCAAAUUUGUAUGGAAUUGGAACGUUUGCCUACGUUUGCCGCUAGGGUCGUUUUUCCAACACCAUACAAAUUUGAGUUA